Molecule: long non-coding RNA, 1791 nt
Organism: Trachemys scripta elegans
Lineage: Eukaryota; Metazoa; Chordata; Testudines; Emydidae
Exons: 5
Source: RefSeq, a predicted model, not a curated record
GAUGUGUGUUAAAUGUGUUAAUCGGGUACAAAGAAGGCAGAACUGGACUCCUAAAUCAGCUGUCAAAGAGAACGGCACUAACGUGGUAGGCAUCGCAGGUGGAAAGAGACUACAGGGAGCAUCUCUACUCUUCCUGCUGGCACCCACGUAAUCAUGCAGCAACAGGGCAAGCCCACCUCCCAAAGGAGAAGAUGCAACUCCCAGAUGUCGGAGGCUUUGAGGCAGUGUGACCUUCCUCCAACCCGGAAGGGUAGGAACCACCCUCUGUGCCCAGGUGGGUGGAGCCAGAUCUGCAUUGCCCUUCCCGCUGCAAGUGGAAAGGCAGGAGAGGAAGUAUAAAAGGCGGAGCCUCCAGCACAGUUGUAAUCGAGUCAGCGAGGGAAACAGACGCAUCCUGCUCACUCUAGGCUGCUGACUUCACUGCCAAACCAAGAGACGCCCUGCUCCCGAAGGAGCGUGUGUCUGCAGGGGAGCUGCCGAGACUGUUGCUGGCCACCUCCCCUGAGGAGACGGAGGACACCCAUUGAUUCAGGUCUCUUAAUGUAACUGUGGUGGAAUGGGAUAUGACUUUAUCAAAUUGUGAAGUCUGUUUCUUACCUGGGUUGAAGUAUUUUCUCUGGCUGCAUUCAUCUGGAUUUGCUUAGUGUCAGCCUGUUUCGUUGCACUCCAGAUAGCUACCCUGUCCUGGAAAGUCAUUUGACGCUUUAUUGAAGGACCACCACUGAGCGCCAUCACCUUUAUUGAAGGACCACCACUGAGAGCAGUCUGAAACUAUCAACUUUGACUCUCCACUUCUGGCAAACCCACAUGGAACGAUGGUCUUUCUACACAGGGGCCCACAAGGGGCAGGCAAGCAUGCUGGUGGGUAUGAAACUUCACAGUCUGAACACAUGGCCCAGAGAUAGAGGCCCUCUUUAAGAGCAAAGUUCUGCUCUGCAGCUGGAGGUUGGCCAUGGCCACAUGUAAGAAGAGUUUGCAGAAGAGAGAGGGCAGGAGGGUCUCUGCUGAAAAGGAGUGAACCAGAAUAGAUGAGGGUGCAUCACAGGAUCUUUGUUUUCAAAGAUCUGUCUCUUAAGUGCUUUAAGAUUAAAGCCAAUGUGGUUAAGAAAUCACCCCCUGUUCUAUUUGCGUUCCUUGCUUUCCUGCCCUGUCAUCUCCAGAGGAGUUAAAUGAGUAAACCCAAAGUGACUACAGCCCAGGUGGAACUCUGAGGGAGCAUAUGUAAGCAACUGGAGGUGCUUGGGAGUGGAGUGUCUCAGAAACUGAUUUCAAGGACUAUGGUGACUGAACAGUGGCAUCUCACCACUUAAGGAGAAAAGAGGUUUGAGCUUGGGACUAUACCCCAGGGUCCCAGAGCUAGAGAGCACAUGGGACCCAGCAAGUCCACUCACAACUGCCUGGUGACCAUACAGAUGGAUAUUGGGCCAGGCUGUAACAGUAAUCUUUUCCCAGUUUAUAAGAUGUAUUUCUGCCUCUCACUUCCUGAGUAAUUUUACCACUACUUAGAGUGCAUUAAUGAAGAGUCUUUAAUGAAGCAUAGCUUGUCAUUACACAAUGCCAAAUUUUUAAAGAGCAAUAUAGAUUAUUCUUAGUGUUUCCCCUUAUCCACACUUGUAAAAGCCCCUCGUUCUGACACUUUCCCGCCAACAUAUGAAGAUUCAAGCAAAGUACUCAGUCACUUUCAUGUACCUGUAACAAAACUCGUUUGUACCUUAAAUGUGUGUACCGUGUAUUGUUUGAAAAAUAUUGCCUUAACUCUUUUCCUGGAAAGGUGAAAAGCAUACAUAAUAA